ACUCAAACGUUAAUUAAAAAACCUAAAACAUGAUUUCUAUGUGACAAUAAAUCAACACGCUGAAGUUUUAACUAGUAAUCCUAGAACAAAUUGCCUAGGUGAUAAAGUAAUCCAAUAAUUAAAACAUCUAAGUCACAUAAUCCCGCCCACCAUAAGAAGUUCCCAUAAUUUCAUUACAUAUCGGUGUUUAUAAAAUAAUAAUUACAGACCUGAGAUAAAUAUGAAAAGAAAACAAAAUCUAAGAGGCUAAAAAUGGGUCUUUAACAAAACCCCUGGCGACUCUUCUUUCCCUCAACCAAACUCAAGCAAGGACCUAUUAAACAGAACUAUGCACGACAAAUUGCAAAAAACAAAAAAUCAAGAAGCAAACAAUCUCGUAUAAUGGCCACAUAAUAGAAUCAUGUAAGUAGCACGGAAGUGAAGAAAAUACUAUAUAUAAGAAUCAAAAUUGCUUCGUUAGAGACUAACUAUUAAGAAAUAAGUAGAUAAUAAUAAGAAGAUUUAAUCACUACACGAUAGAAGACCGAACAGCAAGAUGACACCCCAGAGAGAGCUCUUACAAAGCCAAAAGUCAAA
This 576-nucleotide long non-coding RNA is filed under the name Capsicum annuum. RNAcentral describes it as "long non-coding RNA (CANN_LNC014558)". Lineage: Eukaryota; Viridiplantae; Streptophyta; Magnoliopsida; Solanales; Solanaceae. The record is from RNAcentral.